AAAGUCCCGUCCAAGGAAUUGUCCAUACGCCUUGGUAGCACGAAGGAGCGGCAUUCAAGUAAUUGAGUGACGUGAGUUUCUAAACGACAAAGAUGCAGGCCGUAACGCAAGUGAACCUAGAAGUAGCCUCGUAAACUAAAUGCGGUUGCCGACCUCGUGUCUGUAUAGGGAAGGCCGAAGUGAUAGUGUGCUGGUAAUGGAAGCCACACUAGCGAGCCGUCGGGGUAGCAGGGUC
This is a non-coding RNA of Nitrosomonas communis, 235 nucleotides long. Lineage: Bacteria; Pseudomonadati; Pseudomonadota; Betaproteobacteria; Nitrosomonadales; Nitrosomonadaceae. The record is from Rfam.